This is a non-coding RNA of Peromyscus maniculatus bairdii (prairie deer mouse), 1527 nucleotides long. Lineage: Eukaryota; Metazoa; Chordata; Mammalia; Rodentia; Cricetidae. The record is from RefSeq and is a predicted model, not a curated record.
GCAUGUUAACCAUAGUCAACUGCACUCAUAUGGCCAAGUCCUCAGUGUGUGUGAGGCAACUCUGAAAUGUUAUAUUCCAUUUCUUUAUUUCCUUCUGUCAGUGGUUGCUUUAUUAGACAUAGGCAGCUGGGAGAGCAUAUGUUUCUUUGAAAGAAACCUUUAAAACUCAGAGAUCACAUUUUCAAAAUGCACCAGGGUAAGUUUUAGUUCUUAUAACAUAUCUGGAAAGAUUCAAAAGUCAACAAGCAAGAAGCCUCAUUCCACUCUUAAAGACACAUCAAAUUAAGAAUAAAACCAAGGGCUGUUUUCAUUACCUUUUACACUUUCACACAAAUCAUUUUAAUUAAUCAAUGGCGCUGUAUUUUCUCAUUUAAAAUGAAAUUAAUUUUAUUUGUCAUGCUUGUAUUUGACUUGCCGAGGUACCUUUUGACAGGACAUUGUCAUCUACCAAUGGGUUGGGCUCAUUUUUAGCUGUCCUGAAAUGUAUUCAGCCUGUAAGCCAUAAGUUACACAUCCAGUAAGAGCAUGCACUUUCAGAAUACAUGAAGAAUAAAAAGAAUAAAAGCAUAUUGAAAAAGGUUGAAGGCAACGCAUGGGAGCCAAAUAGGGUUUGCUAGGCAUCCUUAUGUCUACACAUCACACACUUCCUGUUUAAUCUUCACAACCUGCUCAGUAGAAUGUAGAGAGUAUCCUUAAAGAAAUUGUACCAAGGCCCUGGGAAAUUUAAUGCUUUGCUUAAAUUGUAAUAGGAAAUGACGUGAAAGUAAAUUACACAGCUUGGCCAGCAAGACCUAUUGAUUACACUUCCCAGUGGACACAGGCUAACCACUUCAUCUUAUGGCCACCAGUUAUUGCCUGGACUGUUUUGCAAUGGUGCAUAUCCAUGAGAGAAAGGACAACAGCAGCUAUUUUUUUCUUCUGAGAAUUUGGGGAAGAUAAAGCAUGAGCAAGAUGCUGUCAGUACGAAAGCCUGGGUGUGCCACUGUAUAAAAUAAAGAAAAAGUGAGGUUGGGAAACAUCUCAUUGGAAGAUUUUAACACAGAGCCCCAGUAUAGGUGACACAAGUUAGGACUGGAGAACAAGCCAUAUAGAAAAAGAACUUGAGAACUUUCAACCCAGGGAGGAAGUCUGUGGUAAUCUGUAGGUAUCAAUACAGAGAUAGAAAUAUGGAACACGAACACAGUUUGUCUUGAUAGACUUGGUAAGAAUAUUAAAAAUUCCAUCUUAUUCUUUCAUUUGGUUUCAUCAUGUAGGCAAUUUGGGGAUUUCGAGGCACUGUCUCACUCUAUAGUGCAGGUUGACUUUGACCUCUUGGUCUUCCUUCCUUAUACCUGCUGGACUACUCCUUAAUCACUGAGAAACAUCCUCAGUUUUGUAAGAAUCUUAGAAACUCAAGUCUGGGGAACAGAAAAAUAGACUUAAGACCAUGGGAGGUAAGCCAAGGAAAACAAGUUUUAUUACAGAAAGUCAUUCCAAGGGAAGAACUGCAUUAUUAAACACAGCCUGAGCUCGAGAUAAGAAACAAGA